CACACAUUAGAUACCCUGUAGUCCCAGCCGUAACUAGUGACUCGCUAGGUGUCAGGCAUGGCGCGACCGUGUCUGGUCGCCGGCAGGGAAGCCGUGAAGCGAGCCACCUGGGAAGUACGGCCGCAAGGCUGAAACUUAAAGGAAUUGGCGGGGAGCACAACAACGGGUGGAGCCUGCGGUUUAAUUGGACUCAACGCCGGACAUCUCACCAGAGGCGACAGCUGUAUGAUAGCCAGGUUGAUGACUUUGCUUGACUAGCUG
Molecule: ribosomal RNA, 261 nt
Filed under: uncultured archaeon
Lineage: Archaea
Description: partial 16S ribosomal RNA
Rfam family: Archaeal small subunit ribosomal RNA
Source: RNAcentral